Molecule: long non-coding RNA, 823 nt
Organism: Passer domesticus (house sparrow)
Lineage: Eukaryota; Metazoa; Chordata; Aves; Passeriformes; Passeridae
Exons: 3
Source: RefSeq, a predicted model, not a curated record
GCCAGUAGGACCAUCUGGGAGUCCCCAGGCCUGUUAGCCUGACCCCAGUGCCUGGCAAGGUUAUGGGAUAGGUCAUCUUUAGUAGGAUCACACAGCACCUACAGGGCUCAGACCAGCCAGCAUGGAUUUAGGGGCAGGUCCUGUGGCACAGGUGAUGGGUCUGACCUUGAAGACACAUCCUUCAAGGCUCCAUAGAGCUGUUGCACACCUGGGAUGGAUUUUCAGGCCACCUGAGUGCCUAAUGGGCUUUGGAUCCACGUACAUGAAUGACUUCGAAUGCAUGCAGCAAGAUAUGAGGCCUGCAGUGCUGAACUGGCAACAUCUCCUGCCUUCCCUCUGCAGUGAAUCACCACCUCUCAAACACAACAACAGAUGCUGACUCCUCUGCCUGAUUGUUUAGGGAAGAUGCUGUACUUGGAGACAAAAAGCUCAUCUCCACCUGGAGAGGUGCAAAAGCCCUUCUGAAGGGAUGAUGAAGAGCAGUGCCUGGGAUCUAUGGAUCAUUGCCACAGGGCUCUGUCAAAAACAAGUCAGAUGCCUUCAAAAUGUUGUAAAAAAUAACCCCAAAUUGAGCAUCUGUUAGAGCUGAUGAAUCAGCUUGGCACUUGGAUCACAGAUGUGGUUAUUGCCAUGGGGCUCUGGUCCUCUUUUCUUUCUCUCCUGAAUUUGCAACCAGUCCCACUGAUGUGGUAGAGUGGUGAGUGAUAGAAAUCAAACUGUUCCUUCAAGUGUCUUGUGCCAGCUUGAGGUGGGGGUUUGGGGCCAUGAUGGUUACAGGGAGUCAAAGCCUCCCAAUUUUAACAUCCUUUGCAGAUGCCUGUAU